Long non-coding RNA from Oncorhynchus gorbuscha (pink salmon), 303 nucleotides. RefSeq lists it as uncharacterized. NCBI's taxonomy places the organism in Eukaryota, Metazoa, Chordata, Actinopteri, Salmoniformes, Salmonidae. The transcript is spliced from 3 exons. The record is from RefSeq and is a predicted model, not a curated record.
UACUGAAAAUUUUAUGAAGUUGUAGCCGACAAACCGGAGCCGGAUAAAGCCUGACAAAGUCUUUAGAGGAGGUGCUACGGAGUUAUGACGUCCAAUGAGAAGCUGAGCGAUAACCUUGGAGCGUAAAUUUGCUGCCAAACGAAUCCUCGGAUCAACUGUGAGCAACUUUCUCCCUCAGGGGGCAACCUGCUAACAUAAAUUCGGCAUCUAUCUUGACAUGUUCUUCAAAACACAAAUGAGAUUUCAUUAAUUGAAUCCACAGAUGAUGCGAUCUCUAUUGCACUCAACACUGCCCUUUCCCAC